RNAcentral lists this ribosomal RNA (2888 nucleotides) under Escherichia coli. RNAcentral describes it as "23S ribosomal RNA". It matches the Rfam family "Bacterial large subunit ribosomal RNA". Lineage: Bacteria; Pseudomonadati; Pseudomonadota; Gammaproteobacteria; Enterobacterales; Enterobacteriaceae. The record is from RNAcentral.
UUAAGCGACUAAGCGUACACGGUGGAUGCCCUGGCAGUCAGAGGCGAUGAAGGACGUGCUAAUCUGCGAUAAGCGUCGGUAAGGUGAUAUGAACCGUUAUAACCGGCGAUUUCCGAAUGGGGAAACCCAGUGUGUUUCGACACACUAUCAUUAACUGAAUCCAUAGGUUAAUGAGGCGAACCGGGGGAACUGAAACAUCUAAGUACCCCGAGGAAAAGAAAUCAACCGAGAUUCCCCCAGUAGCGGCGAGCGAACGGGGAGCAGCCCAGAGCCUGAAUCAGUGUGUGUGUUAGUGGAAGCGUCUGGAAAGGCGCGCGAUACAGGGUGACAGCCCCGUACACAAAAAUGCACAUGCUGUGAGCUCGAUGAGUAGGGCGGGACACGUGGUAUCCUGUCUGAAUAUGGGGGGACCAUCCUCCAAGGCUAAAUACUCCUGACUGACCGAUAGUGAACCAGUACCGUGAGGGAAAGGCGAAAAGAACCCCGGCGAGGGGAGUGAAAAAGAACCUGAAACCGUGUACGUACAAGCAGUGGGAGCACGCUUAGGCGUGUGACUGCGUACCUUUUGUAUAAUGGGUCAGCGACUUAUAUUCUGUAGCAAGGUUAACCGAAUAGGGAGCCGAAGGGAAACCGAGUCUUAACUGGGCGUUAAGUUGCAGGGUAUAGACCCGAAACCCGGUGAUUCAGCCAUGGGUUGAAGGUUGGGUAACACUAACUGGAGGACCGAACCGACUAAUGUUGAAAAAUUAGCGGAUGACUUGUGGCUGGGGGUGAAAGGCCAAUCAAACCGGGAGAUAGCUGGUUCUCCCCGAAAGCUAUUUAGGUAGCGCCCGUGAAUUCAUCUCCGGGGUAGAGCACUGUUUCGGCAAGGGGUCAUCCCGACUUACCAACCCGAUGCAAACUGCGAAUACCGGAGAAUGUUAUCACGGAGACACACGGCGGGUGCUAACGUCCGUCGUGAAGAGGGAAACAACCCAGACCGCCAGCUAAGGUCCCAAAGUCAUGGUUAAGUGGGAAACGAUGUGGGAAGGCCCAGACAGCCAGGAUGUUGGCUUAGAAGCAGCCAUCAUUUAAAGAAAGCGUAAUAGCUCACUGGUCGAGUCGGCCUGCGCGGAAGAUGUAACGGGGCUAAACCAUGCACCGAAGCUGCGGCAGCGACGCUUAUGCGUUGUUGGGUAGGGGAGUUCUGUAAGCCUGUGAAGGUGUGCUGUGAGGCAUGCUGGAGGUAUCAGAAGUGCGAAUGCUGACAUAAGUAACGAUAAAGCGGGUGAAAAGCCCGCUCGCCGGAAGACCAAGGGUUCCUGUCCAACGUUAAUCGGGGCAGGGUGAGUCGACCCCCUAAGGCGAGGCCGAAAGGCGUAGUCGAUGGGAAACAGGUUAAUAUUCCUGUACUUGGUGUUACUGCGAAGGGGGGACGGAGAAGGCUAUGUUGGCCGGGCGACGGUUGUCCCGGUUUAAGCGUGUAGGCUGGUUUUCCAGGCAAAUCCGGAAAAUCAAGGCUGAGGCGUGAUGACGAGGCACUACGGUGCUGAAGCAACAAAUGCCCUGCUUCCAGGAAAAGCCUCUAAGCAUCAGGUAACAUCAAAUCGUACCCCAAACCGACACAGGUGGUCAGGUAGAGAAUACCAAGGCGCUUGAGAGAACUCGGGUGAAGGAACUAGGCAAAAUGGUGCCGUAACUUCGGGAGAAGGCACGCUGAUAUGUAGGUGAGGUCCCUCGCGGAUGGAGCUGAAAUCAGUCGAAGAUACCAGCUGGCUGCAACUGUUUAUUAAAAACACAGCACUGUGCAAACACGAAAGUGGACGUAUACGGUGUGACGCCUGCCCGGUGCCGGAAGGUUAAUUGAUGGGGUUAGCGCAAGCGAAGCUCUUGAUCGAAGCCCCGGUAAACGGCGGCCGUAACUAUAACGGUCCUAAGGUAGCGAAAUUCCUUGUCGGGUAAGUUCCGACCUGCACGAAUGGCGUAAUGAUGGCCAGGCUGUCUCCACCCGAGACUCAGUGAAAUUGAACUCGCUGUGAAGAUGCAGUGUACCCGCGGCAAGACGGAAAGACCCCGUGAACCUUUACUAUAGCUUGACACUGAACAUUGAGCCUUGAUGUGUAGGAUAGGUGGGAGGCUUAGAAGUGUGGACGCCAGUCUGCAUGGAGCCGACCUUGAAAUACCACCCUUUAAUGUUUGAUGUUCUAACGUUGACCCGUAAUCCGGGUUGCGGACAGUGUCUGGUGGGUAGUUUGACUGGGGCGGUCUCCUCCUAAAGAGUAACGGAGGAGCACGAAGGUUGGCUAAUCCCGGUCGGACAUCAGGAGGUUAGUGCAAUGGCAUAAGCCAGCUUGACUGCGAGCGUGACGGCGCGAGCAGGUGCGAAAGCAGGUCAUAGUGAUCCGGUGGUUCUGAAUGGAAGGGCCAUCGCUCAACGGAUAAAGGUACCCGGGGAUAACAGGCUGAUACCGCCCAAGAGUUCAUAUCGACGGCGGUGUUUGGCACCUCGAUGUCGGCUCAUCACAUCCCGGGCUGAAGUAGGUCCCAAGGGUAUGGCUGUUCGCCAUUUAAAGUGGUACGCGAGCUGGGUUUAGAACGUCGUGAGACAGUUCGGUCCCUAUCUGCCGUGGGCGCUGGAGAACUGAGGGGGGCUGCUCCUAGUACGAGAGGACCGGAGUGGACGCAUCACUGGUGUUCGGGUUGUCAUGCCAAUGGCACUGCCCGGUAGCUAAAUGCGGAAGAGAUAAGUGCUGAAAGCAUCUAAGCACGAAACUUGCCCCGAGAUGAGUUCUCCCUGACCCUUUAAGGGUCCUGAAGGAACGUUGAAGACGACGACGUUGAUAGGCCGGGUGUGUAAGCGCAGCGAUGCGUUGAGCUAACCGGUACUAAUGAACCGUGAGGCUUAACCU